Molecule: ribosomal RNA, 483 nt
Filed under: uncultured bacterium
Lineage: Bacteria
Description: partial 16S ribosomal RNA
Rfam family: Bacterial small subunit ribosomal RNA
Source: RNAcentral
GACGAACGCUGGCGGCGUGCUUAACACAUGCAAGUCGAACGAUGAUGCCCAGCUUGCUGGGUGGAUUAGUGGCGAACGGGUGAGUAACACGUGAGUAACCUGCCCCUGACUCUGGGAUAAGCGUUGGAAACGACGUCUAAUACUGGAUAUGACUGCUAGCCGCAUGGUCUGGUGGUGGAAAGAUUUUUUGGUUGGGGAUGGACUCGCGGCCUAUCAGCUUGUUGGUGAGGUAACGGCUAACCAAGGCGACGACGGGUAGCCGGCCUGAGAGGGUGACCGGCCACACUGGGACUGAGACACGGCCCAGACUCCUACGGGAGGCAGCAGUGGGGAAUAUUGCACAAUGGGCGAAAGCCUGAUGCAGCAACGCCGCGUGAGGGAUGACGGCCUUCGGGUUGUAAACCUCUUUUAGUAGGGAAGAAGCGAAAGUGACGGUACCUGCAGAAAAAGCACCGGCUAACUACGUGCCAGCAGCCGCCGCCG